Lycium barbarum (goji berry) is the source of this 829-nucleotide long non-coding RNA. RefSeq lists it as uncharacterized. NCBI's taxonomy places the organism in Eukaryota, Viridiplantae, Streptophyta, Magnoliopsida, Solanales, Solanaceae. The transcript is spliced from 3 exons. The record is from RefSeq and is a predicted model, not a curated record.
UGCGUUUAAAUUAACGGAAAAGGGCCAAAAUUACUCAUGAACUUUGAAAAAUAGUUCAUUCAUGCCCUUCGUUAUACUUUAGGACCAAUUAUACCCUUACCGUUAUACUUUGGGCCAAAUAUACCCUUGAGCAUAACGGCGUGCCACGUGUCAAAAUCUCAGUGGCCAACUUAUUUUCCCUCUUUUAUUUUUCAUCCGGAUGCCUACUCCUUCAGAUCCGACCCAAUUAAUUUAUUACUCAACCCGUAAAAUAACCCAAAUAAGCCAAACCUAACCCGUAUAACAUAUCUAUAGCCUGCCUCUCUCUCUCUCUCUAAAAAAAAACGCAGAUCAUCUUCAACCUCUUCAAAUGGAAGCUGCAAUUAUGAUUUAAUCGUCUUCAGAUGGGUGAAGUAGUUUCCACUAUUCCAAUGAAGCCUUACAAUGUCCGAAAUUAGUUGUAAUUCAACGAAGAAGUGUCACUGUGGUGAAAUUGCAGUUACUACCAGUCUCAUUAACAAGCUUAACUUGGCAAGGGAAUGAUGCAGUUACUACCAGCCAGUUGGAGGCUACAGCUCAAGAGAGGAUUGGGAAGUUGAAUCCAAGAAGCGGACCUAACAAUUGAUUUAGCUUUAUGAAAUGUUAUUGUUUUUUGUGAAUUAUGGUGAUGUAUUUACUGCUUAAGACAGUACUCUUAAUUUGCUAAUUAUGUAAUGGUCAAACUAAAUGGAUGUCACAUUAUGACUUGGGAUGUAUUAGUUUUUGGGGUUAUAGUGUGGCAUCCAUACAACUAUUGGCUUAUUUUGUGCUGUGGUUGACAGUUUCUAUAGCAUAUUUAUGGUGUUUGAAA